UACGUAGGGUGCGAGCGUUGUCCGGAAUUAUUGGGCGUAAAGAGCUCGUAGGCGGUUUGUCGCGUCUGCUGUGAAAACGCGAGGCUCAACCUCGCGCCUGCAGUGGGUACGGGCAGACUAGAGUGCGGUAGGGGAGAUUGGAAUUCCUGGUGUAGCGGUGGAAUGCGCAGAUAUCGGAAGGAACAUCAGUGGCGAAAGCGGCUUCCUGGACCAGAACUGACGAUCAGGCACGAAAGCGUGGGGAGCAAACAGG
RNAcentral lists this ribosomal RNA (253 nucleotides) under uncultured bacterium. RNAcentral's name for it is "partial 16S ribosomal RNA". It matches the Rfam family "Bacterial small subunit ribosomal RNA", at positions 524 to 776 of the family's 1533-position model. The record is from RNAcentral.